GGUUGCGCCUACAUUCUCCACCACAGCCAGCCCAGGGCGGAGAGGAGGGCCAGGGGCCCUGGGGGCCUCGGGGCUGAGUUCUCCAGGGAUCCUGGGCACAGGAGCCGCAUGGAGGCGCUGGACGCUCCCAGCCGGUUGGCGGCGCAACACGUAUAGUUGCCGUAAUGCCGGGCGCUCAUGUUGGCAAAGAGAAGCAUCGAGCGAGUGCGCUCCAUCUGCACCUUCAGGCCCUCGGCCGUGCCGCUGCUCAGUAGUCUGUCAUCCUUAUACCACUGGAAAUCCGCGGGGGAAACCGCCAUGGCUUCGCAGCGCAGUAGGCGGCCCGGCCCAGCGCGGUGCGGGCGCUGGUCACGUCCGUGAUGGUCGGAGGAUAGUUGACUGUGACCAGCACGCGGCGGCUGUCGGGCGCCGAGUUAACCCCGUUGUGAGUCACGCACUCAUACUCCCCGGCCUGGCCCCGCAGGAUGUCAGAGAUCUCCAGGAUCUCUCCCUCCGAGGUGAAGCCGUCUCGGAGCUGUCUCCAGGUGACCGUGGGCUCUGGCCGCCCCACGGCCAGGCAAAGCAGGUUCACAUUACCUCCCUCAUUCACCAUCACAGGCGACGAGAUGUUCACAACGCGGGCAGGGACGUGGACAAUGAGAAUGCUGCCAUCUCCAUGAAAAAAGCCCAUGUUCGCCAGCUGGAGGAUAAGAUACAACAGGGAGGAGAAGCAAGGUGCCCCUUGUUGACAAUCCCAGAAGCAGAAGCUCAUGCCCAGAAGCACAGCUGCCUAGUUGACAGGCUCAGCUGAGACCAGAAGAAUGGCCCCACCAAGCCCAGCCUAAAUGGCUGACCAUCACAAUUAUGAGCUAAGAAGUUUUGGAUGGUUUGUUAUGCUGUAAGAGCUAACUAAUACGUGCACCCAGUGCAGAUAGGAUGCCAAAAAUUAAUGGCAAGUUGAUUACUAAUUACGUUCUAACAGUGGGCACCCUAAAA
RNAcentral lists this long non-coding RNA (975 nucleotides) under Homo sapiens (human). RNAcentral describes it as "non-protein coding lnc-ZNF107-5:1". The record is from RNAcentral. Lineage: Eukaryota; Metazoa; Chordata; Mammalia; Primates; Hominidae.